AUAGCACCGAAGGAAAGACACCAAGUUGUUCCGCGAUUCAGAGUUCCCAAGUAUGAUAAUGUUGGAUACAUUUAUACCAUUUUAGCCACAACUAUAAGCAUGAAAUUUCUACGGAUCUCCAGAAGUGUGGGUGUUUUCCAACAAUGUAUU
Long non-coding RNA from Hibiscus syriacus, 150 nucleotides. RefSeq lists it as uncharacterized. Lineage: Eukaryota; Viridiplantae; Streptophyta; Magnoliopsida; Malvales; Malvaceae. The record is from RefSeq and is a predicted model, not a curated record. The transcript is spliced from 3 exons.